Molecule: long non-coding RNA, 1844 nt
Filed under: Homo sapiens (human)
Lineage: Eukaryota; Metazoa; Chordata; Mammalia; Primates; Hominidae
Description: long independently transcribed non-coding RNA 671 (LINC00671)
Source: RNAcentral
AAGGGCUCGCACCCAGCCCAUGCUGACUCCAGUUGUCCUUGACUGCAUGGUUUCUGCUGGUCCAAGCAAACUUCUCCUGCCACGCCUAACCUUGGAGAGCAGUGAUCAAUGGAGGAAGUGUUUCAUGGUGGACAUGGGAAACUGGCCAGAUCAACUGCUGUCACCUUCUAAAGAGAGGGUUUUGCCAUGUUGCCAGGCUGGUCUCGAACUCCUGGACUCAAGUGAUCUGCCUGCCUCAGCCUCCCAAAGUGCUGGAAUUAUAGGACCCAGACGGGGAGGAGGAAUGCCAGAGAAGCUGCAGACUCUCCGGCCACGGAGCCUGAGUGGAGCAGAGGUGGCCCACUGUCAGCCACAGGUCAAGUGUCAGGGUGGGGACGGGGCAGGCUCCACCAGAAGGCGGGGGCAGGCUCCACCAGAAGGCGGGGCCAGACCACAGGGCAAGGUGGAGAUGAGUCUGUGGCACCCCCAGGAAGUUUACCAGAUUUGCCCCAGAGCUUCUGACCCUUUGGAUCUCUCUGGGCUGCAUUCUUCAGGGUCCCAUUGCUUCUUUCUUGAAGGUGGAAGGAAAUGUUCCCAUCAGAGCCUUCCAACAGGCCACCUUGGGGGCUUCUCCUGAGAGCUCCUUGUGCACACACCCCUUCAGGGUGGCUUGGGUUGCGCCCUCAGACCCCAGUGGGGGGCCGUAUGGCAUCCUCCUUGGUCAGCAAGUGAGCCACAGCAGCAGGCCCCUCACAGACCUCAGCCUGGGGCCACAGGUCCCUUCUCCCCAUCUCCGCAUCUGGAGAAGCAACCUGUGGAGCAGCCAAGAGUGGCAGCCCUGGCUCUCUACAGCAUUCAUUUUCAGGGCAAGACAGAGCAUUUCCACUAUUAUGCUCCCCCCCCCGGCCUUUUUUUUUUUUUUUUGAGACAGGGUCUCACUCUGUUGCCCAGGCUGGAGUGCGGUGGCGCAAUCAUGGCUCACUGCAGCCUCGACCUUCUGGGGUCAAGUGAUCCUCCCAAUUCAGCCUCCAAAUUUCUUUAAACAAAAAAAAAUGCAAGAAAGGCAAAACAAGAUAUUUAUCUGGGCUGAGAGGGUAAAGAGAAGCUCUAUCUUUGAGCUGAGACACAAAAUGGAAAGAAGAGGCAGCAGCAGCGGCAGUAGCAGUUCUGCCUUUCCAAACCUUCCCUAUCUAAGUGCUUUCAAGAUAUGCUGAAAGUCAUGAAUUGAAGUGUGGUUCCCACGGCUUUAGUCCUUGUAUGAAGGUCCUUUUGCUAGAACUUACUUCCUUUCCAGCCCAUAUGGUUGACCUGGGGGUCCAGGCAGUUCUCAAGGGAACCACAGGAUUCCAUGUGAUCUGGGAUCCCAGUUGAUGAUCCCUCUUCUGGUCACAAGCUGAAUUGGACCCAAAUCUGCACCCUAAACUCCCCUCUUGCCAGAUCCUGCCCAGUCAGUGCCGUCCCCUCAGACUGGGUGGGCAGCCUGGGCUUCCUGCUGAGACGGGACCCCCCCCUCUCUUCUUGAUCUCACUCCCAGGAAAGACACUGAAGGAGCAGAGGUGUGGACGCCACAUACUGGACGGGGUUUCACCAUCUGCUGGGACGGGACACCCUCUCUUCUUGAUCUCACUCCCAGAAAAGACACUGAAGGAGCAGAGGUGUGGACGCCUCAUACUGCUAGAGACGGGGUUUCACCGUGUUAGCCAGGAUGGUCUCAAUCUCCUGAAGUCGUGAUCCACCCGCCUUGGCCUCCCAAAGUGCUGGGAUUACAGGCGUGAGCCACUGCACCCGGCUGAAAUUGUAUACUUUAAAGGGAUGAAUUUUAUGGUAUGUGAAUUAUGUCUCAUUAAAAAAAACAAACUGUUAAG